CAGUAGCCGCGGGAAUACGAACCGUGCGAACGUUAUUCGGAAUCACUGGGCUUAAAGCGCGUGUAGGCGGGCGGGCACGUCGGCUGCUGAAAUCCCCCGGCUCAACCGGGGAACGGGCACCGAUACGACCCGCCUGGAGGGGGGUAGGGGGCGCUGGAACUCACGGUGGAGCGGUGAAAUGCGUUGAGAUCGUGAGGAACGCCCGCGGCGAAAGCGAGCGCCUGGACCUCUACUGACGCUGAGACGCGAAAGCCAGGGGAGCGAACGGGAUUAGAGACCCCAGUAGUCCCUGUCUCUUAUU
Molecule: ribosomal RNA, 301 nt
Filed under: uncultured bacterium
Lineage: Bacteria
Description: partial 16S ribosomal RNA
Rfam family: Bacterial small subunit ribosomal RNA
Source: RNAcentral